Molecule: ribosomal RNA, 469 nt
Filed under: uncultured bacterium
Lineage: Bacteria
Description: bacterial SSU rRNA
Rfam family: Bacterial small subunit ribosomal RNA
Source: RNAcentral
ACUCCUACGGGAGGCAGCAGUGGGGAAUAUUGCACAAUGGGGGAAACCCUGAUGCAGCCAUGCCGCGUGUGUGAAGAAGGCCUUCGGGUUGUAAAGCACUUUCAGUAGGGAGGAAGGUAGUGUAGUUAACACCUGCAUUAUUUGACGUUACCUACAGAAGAAGCACCGGCUAACUCCGUGCCAGCAGCCGCGGUAAUACGGAGGGUGCGAGCGUUAAUCGGAAUUACUGGGCGUAAAGCGCAUGCAGGCGGUUUGCUAAGACCGAUGUGAAAUCCCCGGGCUCAACCUGGGAACUGCAUUGGUGACUGGCAGGCUAGAGUAUGGCAGAGGGGGGUGAGAAUCCACGUGUAGCAGUGAAAUGCGUAGAGAUGUGGAGGAAUACCGAUGGCGAAGGCAGCCCCUGGCCAGUCACUGACGCUCAUGCACGAAAGCGUGGGGAGCAAACAGGAUUAGAUACCCUGGUAGACAU